AUUGAACGCUGGCGGCAUGCCUUACACAUGCAAGUCGAACGGCAGCGGACCUUCGGGUGCCGGCGAGUGGCGAACGGGUGAGUAAUAUAUCGGAACGUACCUUUCAGUGGGGGAUAACGUAGCGAAAGUUACGCUAAUACCGCAUAUUCUGUGAGCAGGAAAGCAGGGGAUCGCAAGACCUUGCGCUGAUUGAGCGGCCGAUAUCAGAUUAGCUAGUUGGUGAGGUAAAGGCUCACCAAGGCGACGAUCUGUAGCGGGUCUGAGAGGAUGAUCCGCCACACUGGAACUGAGACACGGUCCAGACUCCUACGGGAGGCAGCAGUGGGGAAUUUUGGACAAUGGGCGCAAGCCUGAUCCAGCCAUGCCGCGUGAGUGAAGAAGGCCUCGGUUGUAAGACUCUUUCGGUCCGGGAACGGAAAUACGCACAGGUUAAUACCCUACGUGUGGAGUG
RNAcentral lists this ribosomal RNA (451 nucleotides) under uncultured bacterium. RNAcentral's name for it is "bacterial SSU rRNA". It matches the Rfam family "Bacterial small subunit ribosomal RNA", at positions 30 to 475 of the family's 1533-position model. The record is from RNAcentral.